UGUUGAAAUUGAUAAUUCAGGGGUUAUUCCAUUUCAAUGUACUUUAGGGAGACUCAAUUUGUUUGGAACAAGAAGAAAAACGUUAUAUGACGAGCAAGUUUUUGUCGUUCUAUAGUACAAGUUAAAUACCUUCAUAGCAUCUGUUAUCGCCAGAGGGAUGAAAAAGGAGUAUGCAUAUCGUUGCAGCAGGACGGGUACAAUAGAGUGUCCCGUGGACAACUUUUUUGUAGACUGUUAAAACUUUGAAAUCGUUCGAUCCUAACCGAUUAUCUACAUCCCAACACGCUUACAUGAAAAAUCCCUCGACCAUAGGCCAUCAGUGGCCUUCCUUAAUAUUGAAGGGUCCUUUAAAAAUGUGCUACCAGAAUUUAUUUUAUCGGCACUGGUCAGGUUGUGUGUUUACCAACCAAUCUCCCUUCUGUCCAAUAGAGUCAUAAUUUCUACUAUGAGAAAUGUUUACAGAAUGGUGAAACGUGGCUCUCCACAAGGCGGGGUCUUAUCGCCUAUCCUAUGAAAAGAAUUCUGUACAAAAUUCAAUGAGACGACUGAGUCGUUGGAGUACUAACAGUAGUCUCAGUGCCAAUCCUGGGAAACUCGAAACUGUUCUGUUCUUAAAAAGUUACAAGACUCCCUCCUUCCUACUACCAUGCCCAAACCGAGUAUAAUUAACACUCUCUGACACUGCAUAAUAUCUUGGUAUCAAUCGAGAUUCUAAAUUAUCAAGGAAUCUUAUUAUCAAAACAAGAUCCUCUAAGCCAUCUAUCGCGAUGUAUGCAUGUAGAAAAGUCUUAGGUAAGAACUGCGAAAUGGUUAUUCGACAUGGUAAAAAAAAUGGUAAAACCCAUGCUGAUAUAUGGUGCACUCUUCUGGUGGAAAGCUUGGAAAAUCUACCUACUGCAAUUAUA
Molecule: long non-coding RNA, 905 nt
Organism: Lucilia sericata (common green bottle fly)
Lineage: Eukaryota; Metazoa; Arthropoda; Insecta; Diptera; Calliphoridae
Exons: 3
Source: RefSeq, a predicted model, not a curated record